AUGGCCGACACCGCGUACAACUCGUGCUGCGUCGAUGAGGUGGGGGCGUCCAACAUUGACGCCCAGUGCGUCGUCCACUACGGCCACUCCUGCAUGAGCCCGACAUCGAAUUUGCCAGCGUUCUUUGUAUUUGGGAAGGCACCAUUGGACAUCAGUUUGUGUUGCCGCUCAUUGCUGGAUUGCUCGAGAGAAAGCAGUAAACCCGUUCUUGUGUUAUGUGGGUUAGAGUAUGCACAUGCUUUGGACGAUCUUAAAAGAGCCACUAUGGAAUUAUGCAAAUCAGAUUGUCAAAAUUCCGAAAUCCAUUAUGCAGAAGUUCUGUGUUCGGAAAUGAGUCCGUCAUCAAGUUCUACUGCAGAAGAGCAAUGUUCGCAAUCCAAUGGAAGCACUCAUAAUGAUGGUUUGCCUGCAGACAAUGAUGAUUUGGCAACACUUGUGAACAAUUGCUGUAAUGUGGAAGGGUCCACGCGCAAGUAUAAUCUUGGAGGCCUUACAUGGCGCGUAUCCACCGAUGAGAAAAUGGAUGACUAUUUGUUAUAUUGGAUUGGACAAGAUAACUCUGCUUUUGCCAACAUUGCACUUACUUUCAAUAAGUGUGAUAUAGUUAGAUACGACACAGCAGCAAAUCAAUUCUCAAGGGAUGUCUCUCAUCUGAUGAAAAUUCUUAGGCGCAGAUAUUACCUUGUGGAGAAGGCAAAGGAUGCAAAUAUUGUUGGCAUUUUGGUGGGAACUCUAGGCGUUGCUGGUUACCUUGACAUAAUCGAGCAAAUGAAAAAUCUGAUCAAAACUGCUGGAAAGAAAUCUUAUACACUGGUCAUGGGACGGCCUAAUUCUGCUAAGCUUGCCAAUUUUCCUGAGUGUGAAGUUUUUGUAUAUGUUUCUUGUGCCCAAACUGCUUUAUUGGAUAGCAAAGAAUUUUUAGCCCCAGUUAUCACACCAUUUGAAGCUGUAUUAGCUUUUAGCAGAGGAAGAGAAUGGACUGGAGAAUAUCUUUUGGAUUUCAAGGAAUUGAUCAGUUCGGAGAAACCAGAAGUUGCAAGCAAAAGUGAAGAAGCACGUUUUUCUUUUAUCAAAGGCGGCUAUGUGGAAGAUGAUUGUCCUCAAGAAAACGAGGAGCAUUCAGAAACAUCACUUGCACUGGCCGAGCUAACGGAGAAGGCCCUAAGCACCCAAAACCAAAAUAGCGACGCAGUUCUUUACCAAGGAGGCGCGAAGUCUGCAAUCGAAUACCUCAAGGCCCGGUCCUACCGUGGUAUGACUGGAGAAUAUGAGGGUCCAGCACCAGACUCGGUCUUGAUAGGCAGGACAGGGAGGGCUGCUGGUUACUCUGAUGAGAAAACGAAGAGCCCACAAUGA
This 1356-nucleotide ribosomal RNA is filed under the name Triticum aestivum (bread wheat). RNAcentral's name for it is "partial small subunit ribosomal RNA". The record is from RNAcentral. Lineage: Eukaryota; Viridiplantae; Streptophyta; Magnoliopsida; Poales; Poaceae.